CGUAGCGCGAGAGCCGCCUCCUCUCUCUCCUCUGCAGUAGCAGCAGCAGCAGCAGCGGCGGCAGUGGCCUCGCGCCCCUCCCCUAACCCGGUCACGCGAGGCUGCCGUUGGGAGCAGUCGCAGCCUUGCUACCGUAUACCGUACUUUGGUAGCCUUCGCUGAUGCAGCGAGACUAACUCGCAGGUCCGAUCGCCUUCGAGGUUCCUGAUGCAAACCAUUUUUUGGCUCGUGUACAGGAUACACCAAACAGCCCAGGAAAGAGGCAGACAGAAACCAGGAGGUACGGGACGAAGGCUGUGGUCGGGGACAGAAGGCUGAGGUGAUAUCCGGGAAGACGACAGGAUGGAAUGGUCAGGGGCAGGCAGAGAUAACCCCGCUUUUUGGAACUCUAUGCCAAGAGCCAUUAUGAUGCCUCUUCCAUCUAUGAAGAGACCCUCACUACUUUAAGGGCCGGUAGCCUCAAGUCUGUCAGCAGACAGGUUGUGCACCAUCUGCAUCACAAAGCAACAGAUUCUUAUGCUUCUCAGCAGAACUGAAACUUAUUCAAAGGAACUAUAUCCAUUCCUUUUGACUGGUAAGCCGACCCAUAGCAGAAGCGUCCACGGCGCUGGGCUGGAAACUGGAAAUAUCCUGAGCUAAUUCUGCCACCACCAUCAUCUAUUGCGACUAGCGAUGGCUUCCACUGAUUGUUGCCGGAAGCUUGUGUCCUUUUCAGGCCGGACGAUGACAGCGAGGUCAACAUUUGUAACAAGAUGGACAAGAAAAUAAGAAGGCUGGAUCUCAGGAAACGAUCAACCCGCUGUUGCGACAGUUGUUUCAGCCAACAACGAAAUCUGCACCCACACAUAUUGCUGGAAUUAUCAAUGCUCUAUGUACAACAGUGUCAAAGUCAAGUGUUUCUCAGUACUUGAUAUCAAAGCUCCCACUCGAAUAUGCUGUUCAGGAGGACUUCAAUGUCACGGACACCAUGGAAGUGGAAACGUCUAAACAUAACUACAACAACAAUCAGUUUUAUUCGUCACAUUGCACAUAAAGUGCAAGUGAAAUGAAUUUAGCGGUACAAUGAAGCAGCGGUACAAUGACAAAGAACACACAAAAACACAAUAAAAAUUUAACACAAACAUCCACCACAGCAUUCAUCACUGUGGUGGAAGACACACAAAUUGGCCAGUCCUCCUCCAUUUUCCCCCGUGGUCGGGACCUCAACCCUCCGCAGCCGUCGCUGCGGGCGUCCAGAUGACCAUAUGCAGACAAGGUAAAAAGUCCAGGUAAGUCCUGAAACGGUGCCUCCCCCACCGGAGACUGUGGCUUCAAGUUGGUGUAGGCCACAGGCCAGCGGUCAGAGAUUUAAAGUUCCCGCCGCGCCGCAGCCAGAAGCACCGCAGACCGCAGGGCCGGCGGUCGAAGCUACCCUCCAGGGAUCCCCGGCGAGGGACCCCGCUCCUGAUGGUAAGUUCCCGCUGCGCCCGCUAUCGCUAAACUGUCUGGAGAGUGUACCUCUGUUGCUGAGUUCCUACACAAGCUGACUGCAUUCGCUCAGGAAGAAGCAACAUUGCUCCAAGAAUGAACAAUCGGCCAAAACAAUAACCAUAUGUGGCACGAACAAUGUAAAGAACUCAUCACAGGAUCAAAUAUUCAUGGAGUCUUGACAAGGAUGAGGACUUUCCAAAAGAGCGAUCAAACUGACCUCGACACAAGUGGGCUUGUAAAGCGUGUCAUGGCCACGACAAGCCGAGUGAACACUUACCUGCACUAGUGCAUGGACGGCGGCACGAAGAUAAAGCGAGAGCCAUGUUUGUGCAAGCAUUAACUGAACUAGGACAUGAAGACCCAAGUCAAAGAAUAUGGGCUGUUUGUCUGGAGAGACAAACCCUUCAUGGGCUCAAGCCCGGAUGGUAUUGUGACAUCACCUGUUGUGGCAGUGGGCCCUUAGAAAUCAAAUGUCCUGUAAG
Molecule: long non-coding RNA, 1952 nt
Organism: Leucoraja erinaceus (little skate)
Lineage: Eukaryota; Metazoa; Chordata; Chondrichthyes; Rajiformes; Rajidae
Exons: 4
Source: RefSeq, a predicted model, not a curated record